GAUGAACGCUAGCUACAGGCUUAACACAUGCAAGUCGAACGGAGUGGCGAACGGGGGAGUAAUGUAUCGGAACGUGCCCCGUACCGGUGGAUAACUACGCCAAAGCGUAGCUAAUACCGCAUACUAUUGGAGUGGCCGAUAUCGGGAUAGCUGGUUGGUGGGGUAACGGCUCACCAAGGCCACGAUCCGUAGCCGGUUUGAGAGGACGACCAGCCACACUGGGACUGAGCCACGGCCCAGACUCCUACGGGAGGCAGCAGUGGGGAAUUUUGGACAAUGGGGGAAACCCUGAUCCAUCCAUCCCGCGUGUGCGAUGAAGGCCUUCGGGUUGUAAAGCACUUUUGGCAGGAAAGCGGUACCUGCAGAAUAAGCACCGGCUAACUACGUGCCAGCCGCCGCGGUAAUAC
Molecule: ribosomal RNA, 407 nt
Filed under: uncultured bacterium
Lineage: Bacteria
Description: partial 16S ribosomal RNA
Rfam family: Bacterial small subunit ribosomal RNA
Source: RNAcentral